CUCGACGUUGCACUGGAUUACUACUGCACUCGGUUUAGUAGCGGGGCGCCAUUCAUCCUAUGUGAUUUCUUCUUCUCUGUGAUAAGAUGGCGCCCUUUCACCAUAUUCAAUAUUAUGACGUCAAAAUUCUGGAAUCAGCUGUGAUGUGUCAAACAUUAUGGGAAAAAAAGAGAGGUUACAAAUAUAAUCAAAAAUAAU
This is a long non-coding RNA of Polistes dominula (European paper wasp), 198 nucleotides long. NCBI's taxonomy places the organism in Eukaryota, Metazoa, Arthropoda, Insecta, Hymenoptera, Vespidae. The record is from RefSeq and is a predicted model, not a curated record.